UCGCCUGUUUAUCAAAAACAUAGCUUUAUGAAUUAAAUAUAAAGUAAAACCUGCCCAGUGAUUUAUUUAACGGCCGCAGUACUUUGACUGUGCUAAGGUAGCAUAAUAAAUUGGCUUUUAAUUGAAGUCUGGAAUGAAAGGAUAAAUGAAUAUUUACUUUUUUACUUUAAUUUAAGUGAACUUACUUAAAAGGUGAAAAUUCCUUUAAUUAAUUUUAAUAGACGAGAAGACCCUAGGAGUUUGAUUUUUUGUUGGGGCGGCAUUAUAGUAGUAAAACCUAUAAUAUGUAAUAUUUAAUAUAACAAAAAUUAUUUUAUAAAAUAAAACUACCCUAGGGAUAACAGCAUAAUUUUAUUUAAAGUUUGUGACCUCGAUGUUGGACUAGGAAAAUUUAAUAUUAGCUAUAUUAAAAAUUUUGUUCUGUUCGAACAUUUUACUCCUACAUGAUCUGAGUUCAAACCGGA
RNAcentral lists this ribosomal RNA (464 nucleotides) under Trochomorpha haptoderma. RNAcentral's name for it is "partial large subunit ribosomal RNA". It matches the Rfam family "Bacterial large subunit ribosomal RNA", at positions 1796 to 2620 of the family's 2925-position model. Lineage: Eukaryota; Metazoa; Mollusca; Gastropoda; Stylommatophora; Trochomorphidae. The record is from RNAcentral.